GACGAACGCUGGCGGCGUGCUUAACACAUGCAAGUCGAGCGGUAAGGCCCUUUCGGGGGUACACGAGCGGCGAACGGGUGAGUAACACGUGGGUGACCUGCCCUCAGCUCUGGGAUAAGCCUGGGAAACUGGGUCUAAUACUGGAUAUGACUCCACGGUGCAUGUCGUGGGGUGGAAAGCCUUGUGCGGCUGAGGAUGGGCCCGCGGCCUAUCAGCUUGUUGGUGGGGUGAUGGCCUACCAAGGCGACGACGGGUAGCCGGCCUGAGAGGGCGACCGGCCACACUGGGACUGAGACACGGCCCAGACUCCUACGGGAGGCAGCAGCGGGGAAUCUUGCGCAAUGGGCGAAAGCCUGACGCAGCGACGCCGCGUGAGGGAUGACGGCCUCGGUUGUAACGUAC
RNAcentral lists this ribosomal RNA (402 nucleotides) under uncultured bacterium. RNAcentral's name for it is "bacterial SSU rRNA". It matches the Rfam family "Bacterial small subunit ribosomal RNA", at positions 28 to 433 of the family's 1533-position model. The record is from RNAcentral.